Molecule: ribosomal RNA, 399 nt
Filed under: uncultured bacterium
Lineage: Bacteria
Description: bacterial SSU rRNA
Rfam family: Bacterial small subunit ribosomal RNA
Source: RNAcentral
UAUAUAAGUAACCUACCUUGUGGAUUGGAAUAACGUAGAGAAAUUUGCGCUAAUACCGAAUGAUGCAGCGGCACCGCAUGGUGAUGUUGUUAAAGUCAUUUAUGGCGCCACAAGAUGGGCUUGUAUUCGAUUAGCUAGUUGGUGGGGUAAUAGCCCACCAAGGCAACGAUCGAUAGCUGGUCUGAGAGGAUGAUCAGCCACACUGGAACUGAGACACGGUCCAGACUCCUACGGGAGGCAGCAGUGAGGAAUAUUGGGCAAUGCCCGCAAGGGUGACCCAGCAACGCCGCGUGGAGGAUGAAUGCCGUAAGGUUGUAAACUCCUUUUGGAGGGGACGAAAAAAUAAGUUGGUAGCUUAUAUUGACUGUACCCUCAGAAAAAGCCCCGGCUAACUACGUG